Molecule: non-coding RNA, 22 nt
Filed under: Arabidopsis thaliana (thale cress)
Lineage: Eukaryota; Viridiplantae; Streptophyta; Magnoliopsida; Brassicales; Brassicaceae
Source: RNAcentral
UGUAGCUCCUUCGGUGUGACUA